GAUGAACGCUGGCGGCGUGCCUAAUACAUGCAAGUCGAGCGAACAGACGAGGAGCUUGCUCCUCUGACGUUAGCGGCGGACGGGCGAGUAACACGUGGAUAACCUACCUAUAAGACUGGGAUAACUUCGGGAAACCGGAGCUAGUACCGGAUAAUAUAUUGAACCGCAUGGUUCAAUAGUGAAAGACGGUUUUGCUGUCACUUAUAGAUGGAUCCGCGCCGCAUUAGCUAGUUGGUAAGGUAACGGCUUACCAAGGCAACGAUGCGUAGCCGACCUGAGAGGGUGAUCGGCCACACUGGAACUGAGACACGGUCCAGACUCCUACGGGAGGCAGCAGUAGGGAAUCUUCCGCAAUGGGCGAAAGCCUGACGGAGCAACGCCGCGUGAGUGAUGAAGGUCUUCGGAUCGUAAAACUCUGUUAUUAGGGAAGAACAAAUGUGUAAGUAACUAUGCACGUCUUGACGGUACCUAAUCAGAAAGCCACGGCUAACUACGUG
Molecule: ribosomal RNA, 497 nt
Filed under: uncultured bacterium
Lineage: Bacteria
Description: partial 16S ribosomal RNA
Rfam family: Bacterial small subunit ribosomal RNA
Source: RNAcentral